This 420-nucleotide ribosomal RNA is filed under the name Fusobacteriota bacterium. Its description in RNAcentral is "Fusobacteria bacterium partial 16S ribosomal RNA". It matches the Rfam family "Bacterial small subunit ribosomal RNA", at positions 355 to 776 of the family's 1533-position model. The record is from RNAcentral. Lineage: Bacteria; Fusobacteriati; Fusobacteriota.
UGGGGGAUAUUGCACAAUGGGCGAAAGCCUGAUGCAGCGACGCCGCGUGGGGGAUGAAGGCCUUCGGGUUGUAAACUUCUUUUGCUCUGAACAAGGCAUGCCUUUGGGGUGUGUUGAGUGUAGGGGUUGAUUAGCGCCGGCUAACUACGUGCCAGUAGCCGCGGUAAUACGUAGGGCGCGAGCGUUGUCCGGAAUUAUUGGGCGUAAUGGGCUUGUAGGUGGCUUGUUGCGUCUGUCGUGAAAGCUCAUGGCUUAACUGUGGGUUUGCGGUGGGUACAGGCUGGCUUGAGUACAGUAGGGGAGGCUGGAAUUCCUGGUGUAGCGGUGGAAUGCGCAGAUAUCAGGAGGAAUACCGGUGGCGAAGGCGGGUCUCUGGGCUGUUACUGACGCUGAGGAGCGAAAGCGUGGGGAGCGAACAGG